CCCUUAGAUGUCCUGGGCCGCACGCGCGUUACACUGAUGCAUUCAACGAGCUUAUAACCUUGGCCGAGAGGCCUGGGCAAUCUUGUUAACGUGCAUCGUGAUAGGGAUAGAUUAUUGAAAUUAUUAAUCUUGAACGAGGAAUUCCUAGUAAACGCAGAUCAUCAAUCUGCAUUGAUUACGGCCCUGCCCUUUGUACACACCGCCCGUCGCACCUACCGAUUGGAUGGUCCGGUGAAGCCUCGGGAUUGUGGUUCUUGCCGCUUUAUUGUAGCGUGACCGCGAGAACUUGUCUAAACCUUAUCACCUAGAGGAAGGUGAAGUCGUAACA
Molecule: ribosomal RNA, 328 nt
Filed under: uncultured eukaryote
Lineage: Eukaryota
Description: partial 18S ribosomal RNA
Rfam family: Eukaryotic small subunit ribosomal RNA
Source: RNAcentral